GUGGGGAAUUUUGGACAAUGGGCGCAAGCCUGAUCCAGCAAUGCCGCGUGCAGGAAGAAGGCCUUCGGGUUGUAAACUGCUUUUGUACGGAACGAAACGGCUCUGGUUAAUACCCGGGGCUAAUGACGGUACCGUAAGAAUAAGCACCGGCUAACUACGUGCCAGCAGCCGCGGUAAUACGUAGGGUGCAAGCGUUAAUCGGAAUUACUGGGCGUAAAGCGUGCGCAGGCGGUUGUGUAAGACAGGCGUGAAAUCCCCGGGCUCAACCUGGGAAUUGCGCUUGUGACUGCACAGCUGGAGUGCGGCAGAGGGGGAUGGAAUUCCGCGUGUAGCAGUGAAAUGCGUAGAUAUGCGGAGGAACACCGAUGGCGAAGGCAAUCCCCUGGGCCUGCACUGACGCUCAUGCACGUAAGCGUGGGGAGCAAACAGGAUUAGAUACCCUUGUAGUCC
This 450-nucleotide ribosomal RNA is filed under the name uncultured bacterium. Its description in RNAcentral is "partial 16S ribosomal RNA". It matches the Rfam family "Bacterial small subunit ribosomal RNA", at positions 354 to 796 of the family's 1533-position model. The record is from RNAcentral.